CUACGGGAGGCUCCAGUGAGGAAUAUUGCGCAAUGGGGGAAACCCUGACGCAGCGACGCCACGUGGAUGAUGAAGGCCUUCGGGUCGUAAAAUCCUGUCAGAAGGAAAGAAGUAUAUGGUAGCUAAUAUCUGCCAUAUUUGACGGUACCUUCAAAGGAAGCACCGGCUAACUCCGUGCCAGCAGCCGCGGUAAUACGGAGGGUGCAAGCGUUGUUCGGAAUUACUGGGCGUAAAGCGCGCGUAGGCGGCUGUUUAAGUCAGAUGUGAAAGCCCAUGGCUUAACCAUGGGCGUGCAUUUGAUACUGGGCAGCUUGAGUACUGGAGGGGGUGGUGGAAUUCCCGGUGUAGAGGUGAAAUUCGUAGAUAUCGGGAGGAAUACCGGUGGCGAAGGCGACCACCUGGCCAGAUACUGACGCUGAGGUGCGAAAGCGUGGGGAGCAAACAGGAUUAGAUACCCGAGUAGUC
Molecule: ribosomal RNA, 465 nt
Filed under: uncultured bacterium
Lineage: Bacteria
Description: partial 16S ribosomal RNA
Rfam family: Bacterial small subunit ribosomal RNA
Source: RNAcentral